This is a long non-coding RNA of Glossina fuscipes, 896 nucleotides long. RefSeq lists it as uncharacterized. NCBI's taxonomy places the organism in Eukaryota, Metazoa, Arthropoda, Insecta, Diptera, Glossinidae. The transcript has 3 exons. The record is from RefSeq and is a predicted model, not a curated record.
AAGACAAAAGGCGAAGUAGUUAUUUUUAUCAGUUCGAUACGAACUAAACGCACACAAGGUAGAUGCGGAAUAGGAUAGAAGCAUAACAUGAACUCGAAUUUUAGUAGAUUGUUAGAAAAUCGAAGUCACUAAAGAUUUUUAUAUGGGAGCACCAAAGAUUAAUCUGAGUUUUUCAUGGGUUGCUCUCACUAUCCUACUGCAAGAACUCACUUCACAAGUUACGCGGAAUGAGACCACCAUUGCCCAAGCUUAUGUUUAACCUUAAGUGUACACUACAAUAACUACUGAUACGUACGGUAAUCGAAUCAAAACGUGUGAACAAAGUGAUCUCAAACUUUCAAUUCUAAAAAAAUUUCUGAAUGUAUCAAAAUGUUUUCAAAAUGUUAGUAACCUACUCUUUGUGAUAUGAGUUAUACUACUUUGUAUGAAGUGACCAUAUAAAAUUCAUUUCUGAACUUGUUCUAAGGAAGAAGAUAGGAAAAAUUUGGAACCAACUUCAUCUCAACAAAAUUUGUAGUUACCAACGACUUUUCCAAGUACGCGUAAUGAAAUUGAUACCACUAUUCAAACCGAUCGAGAAAGUGUGAGAAAGGUAAGUAGAAAGGUAGUGUACAGCAGCCAUAUUUACUUUUCACGCUCCUAUGGUUCUUUGGAAAGUUUUCGUAUCUUAACAAAAGUGAAUAAAGUUAAAAAGAAAACGGGUUGGUUUGUUCGCCAUUCAUUCGUUAAUUUACUCCGUAACUUCUAUCGUACGUUUUGCUACGGCGUGCUAGACCUUCCGGUGAUUGUGAACGAAAACUUCAGCACGUACCGUUUCCAAAAUGGAUGUCAACAUUUUAGUAAACAAAAUUGAAGGUUAAACGUUUACGUAUGGACCUAAAUAUUAACCUUAAUAA